UGAGAUGCUGAGUAUCACCAUUUGAAGACUAACAUGUGUACUUGAGUUGUCUCUCAUGUCUAGACCAUUUGUGAGAAGGGAGUUUUUGUUUGCACCAAUACCCACCAAUCUCUAUAUUUGUAAGAAGUAUUAUGCUCAAUUAAGGAAAAUAGUAGUUCAACAUACCACACUACCCUUUUAAGUAGUAUCAUCCUAUAUGUUAUCUGCUACCUUAGCUAAAUUUUGCGUUCUCAUGGUGCUGCAGUAGGGUUAGUUUCUUGUGUACCUCUAGAUAUACAUUCUCUUGCUGCGUAGGGUUCCCAAGCUGUCAAAACUAGUGAUCUGUUCCCCUUGAUAUUCUGAUCCUUCAGAAGUUAGGUAUAGAAGUAAGUCGAUUAAGUUCAUUCAUGACUUUUCCAGAUGUUGCAUACAUAACUUUUUUUCAUUUGUAUUCGAACUAGUCCAAGCCGAUUCUCAAAAUCAUAUAAAAUCAUUUACACCUUGGUCAUGGUAGCUAAGAAUAUUGUAUCUAAAAUUGGGGAGUGGGGAGAUGUUUGGUUAUAUUCCCUUCUCAUCGAUGGUCUAGAUGUGCGAGGUGACUCUCAUGGAGGUAAAGAACAAUGGUGAUUUUGUGAAGAACCCAACGUAAUGGUAACUCCUAAAAAGGUUAGAAGUUUUUUCAGCUUGUUGUAUUGCUAAAAUGGGGUUGAUGUACUCAACGACCCAUUUUUU
Molecule: precursor RNA, 711 nt
Filed under: Arabidopsis thaliana (thale cress)
Lineage: Eukaryota; Viridiplantae; Streptophyta; Magnoliopsida; Brassicales; Brassicaceae
Description: pre-miRNA 824
Rfam family: MIR824 microRNA precursor family (bases 41-590)
Source: RNAcentral